GCCGGGCGCGGUGGCGCGCGCCUGUAAUCCCAGCUACUCGGGAGGCUGAGGCUGGAGGAUCGCUUGAGCCCAGGAGUUCUGGGCUGCAGUGCGCUAUGCCGAUCGGGUGUCCGCACUAAGUUCGGCAUCAAUAUGGUGACCCUCCGGGAGCGGGGGACCACCAGGUUGCCUAAGGAGGGGUGAACCGGCCCAGGUCGGAAACGGAGCAGGUCAAAACUCCCGUGCUGAUCAGUAGUGGGAUCGCGCCUGUGAAUAGCCACUGUACUCCAGCCUGGGCAACAUAGCGAGACCCCGUCUCUU
This 300-nucleotide signal recognition particle RNA is filed under the name Sus scrofa (pig). RNAcentral describes it as "Metazoan signal recognition particle RNA (multiple genes)". It matches the Rfam family "Metazoan signal recognition particle RNA". Rfam says of the family: The signal recognition particle (SRP) is a universally conserved ribonucleoprotein. It is involved in the co-translational targeting of proteins to membranes. The eukaryotic SRP consists of a 300-nucleotide 7S RNA and six proteins: SRPs 72, 68, 54, 19, 14, and 9. Lineage: Eukaryota; Metazoa; Chordata; Mammalia; Artiodactyla; Suidae. RNAcentral also lists the same sequence under 1 other name. The record is from RNAcentral.